Molecule: ribosomal RNA, 253 nt
Filed under: uncultured bacterium
Lineage: Bacteria
Description: partial 16S ribosomal RNA
Rfam family: Bacterial small subunit ribosomal RNA
Source: RNAcentral
UACAGAGGGUGCAAGCGUUGUUCGGAAUUAUUGGGCGUAAAGCGCGUGUAGGCGGCUUUGCAAGUCGCGUGUGAAAGCCCCCGGCUCAACUGGGGAGGGUCACGCGAUACUGGUCGACUCGAAGGCAGGAGAGGGUAGUGGAAUUCCCGGUGUAGAGGUGAAAUUCGUAGAUAUUAGGAAGAACACCAGUGGCGAAGGCGGCUCACUGGCCCGGUACUGACGCUGAGGCGCGAAAGCGUGGGGAGCAAACAGG